CAUAUGCUCCCUCCAUCCGGAAAUACUUUUCAUCAAAAUGGAUAAAAGAAGAUGUAUCUAGAUGUAUUUUAGUUCUAGAUACAUCUCUCUUUAUCCAUUUUGAUGACAAGUGUUUUGGGACGGAGGGAGUAGUUU
Triticum aestivum (bread wheat) is the source of this 135-nucleotide non-coding RNA. NCBI's taxonomy places the organism in Eukaryota, Viridiplantae, Streptophyta, Magnoliopsida, Poales, Poaceae. The record is from Rfam.